GACGAACGCUAGCGACAGGCCUAACACAUGCAAGUCGAGGGGCAGCAUUACCGCUUGCGGUAGAUGGCGACCGGCGCACGGGUGAGUAACGCGUAUGCAACCUGCCUUGUACAGGGGGAUAGCCCAGAGAAAUCUGGAUUAAUACCCCAUAAUAUGAUUUAUUCGCAUGGAUAAAUUAUUAAAGUUUCGGCGGUACAAGAUGGGCAUGCGUAGCAUUAGUUAGUUGGUAAGGUAACGGCUUACCAAGACGAUGAUGCUUAGGGGGUCUGAGAGGAUAGUCCCCCACACUGGUACUGAGACACGGACCAGACUCCUACGGGAGGCAGCAGUGAGGAAUAUUGGUCAAUGGGCGGAAGCCUGAACCAGCCAUGUCGCGUGCAGGAUGACGGCCCUAUGGGUUGUAAACUGCUUUUUUACAGGAAUAAUUGCAGCUACGUGUAGUUGUUUGAAGGUACUGUAUGAAUAAGGAUCGGCUAACUCCGUGCCAGCAGCCGCGGUAAUACGGAGGAUUCGAGCGUUAUCCGGAUUUAUUGGGUUUAAAGGGUCCGUAGGCGGAUUUGUAAGUCAGUGGUGAAAUCCCGGAGCUCAACUCCGGAACUGCCAUUGAUACUGCAGAUCUUGAAUUUAGUUGAGGUGGGCGGAAUACGUUAUGUAGCGGUG
RNAcentral lists this ribosomal RNA (660 nucleotides) under uncultured Bacteroidota bacterium. RNAcentral describes it as "bacterial SSU rRNA". It matches the Rfam family "Bacterial small subunit ribosomal RNA", at positions 28 to 683 of the family's 1533-position model. The record is from RNAcentral. Lineage: Bacteria; Pseudomonadati; Bacteroidota.